GACGAACGCUGGCGGCGUGCUUAACACAUGCAAGUCGAACGGAAGGGCCCUGCUUUUGUGGGGUGCUCGAGUGGCGAACGGGUGAGUAACACGUGAGUAACCUGCCCUUGACUUUGGGAUAACUUCAGGAAACUGGGGCUAAUACCGGAUAGGAGCUCCUGCUGCAUGGUGGGGGUUGGAAAGUUUCGGCGGUUGGGGAUGGACUUGCGGCUUAUCAGCUUGUUGGUGGGGUAGUGGCUUACCAAGGCUUUGACGGGUAGCCGGCCUGAGAGGGUGACCGGCCACAUUGGGACUGAGAUACGGCCCAGACUCCUACGGGAGGCAGCAGUGGGGAAUAUUGCACAAUGGGCGGAAGCCUGAUGCAGCAACGCCGCGUGCGGGAUGACGGCCUUCGGGUUGUAAACCGCUUUCGCCUGUGACGAAGCGUGAGUGACGGUAAUGGGUAAAGAAGCACCGGCCAACUACGUG
Molecule: ribosomal RNA, 468 nt
Filed under: uncultured bacterium
Lineage: Bacteria
Description: partial 16S ribosomal RNA
Rfam family: Bacterial small subunit ribosomal RNA
Source: RNAcentral